Molecule: long non-coding RNA, 1239 nt
Filed under: Mus spicilegus (steppe mouse)
Lineage: Eukaryota; Metazoa; Chordata; Mammalia; Rodentia; Muridae
Description: lncRNA (ENSMSIG00000013767.1)
Source: RNAcentral
GGAGAGGAGAGGAGAGGAGAGGAGAGGAGAGGAGAGGAGAGGAGAGGAGAGGAGAGGAGAGGAGAGGAGAGGAGAAAUACAGGGGCAGGGGGUGUGUGCCAAACUCCUUCUUUGCUAAGUAGAAAGCUUCUGAAUUUCAAGCAGAAAGUGGAAGGAGCUUCACAGAGCACUAUCUUGGGCUGCGUGUGCAGAGCGUAGACAAUGAAAAUCUCCGCCCCCUCCCCCAUGCUCUCAAGUCUACAAGAUUUUUUUCUUUCCUUCACAACGAUGGAAGCUAUGUAAAAAUCAAAUACACAGAGAUGUACAUACUUUUUUUUAAAGCACAGACUAACAAACCGAAGGACCUGACCAUGGAUUAUUCAAGGACUCACCUGCUGGGGAGCGCUCUGGGGUCUCCGCACAAAACCUGCUUUUGAGCCCUUUGGCUUUCUUCAGGCGAGCGCAGUCCGUCCAUCCCCCUGGCCCACCCAGCCGCAAGGGAUGCUGUGAAAAGAGCCGCUGCUUGCCGCCUCCGGCCUGCCGUCCAGAGGGCUCCGCCCGUAGAGGUCAACUCCCCUCAUUCUUCUUCUUUCCAUCUUGCCCUCCCUCCGCCGAGCCCAGACUCGGAUCUCCUCCUGACACCCGCCGCAGUCAGAGAGAGCGCAUCUGCUGCGCUGCCCUUAAAUCUACGCCCAGAGCGGGCUCAGACCCGAUCUCUGCUCUCCAGAGCCGGAGGACGCCCGAGCAAGCAGCCUUUUCUCUUCGCAGUAAAAUCAUAGCCAGACCAGAUGGGCCCCAGCUCUCCCGGGACUCGGCAGAGACGGCUCGUGAUCAUUGCCUUCCUUUUGGAAGAACACCGAUAAGGAAACCUCAAAAAAAAACCUUCCUGGACUUUUGAGAAGGAAAAGAUGGAGAUGGGACAAAAAGAGUGAAAAGAUCAACAAGACACAACACUGGCCACAAGACUACUUUGGGCAAAUAAUGAAAGCAGAUGAAAAAUAAGUUUCUUCACAGGUCAAUCUAGCCUUGGAGCAGCAUAUACAGAGAGAGGUCAGAGCUGAGGGAGUGUCAGAGAGGAACACGAGAGAGAGAGAGAGAGAGAGAGAGAGAGAGAGAGAGAGAGAGAGAGAGAGAGAGAGAGAGAGAGAGAGAGAGAGANNNNNNNNNNUCAUGCAGAUGCAGUUCAUAGUUCCUUGCCUACUACUGUAGAGAAGUCCACUCUUUGACAGUAAUCAACAUAGUAACUUCUGUUGUGCUUUG